RNAcentral lists this ribosomal RNA (440 nucleotides) under uncultured bacterium. RNAcentral describes it as "partial 16S ribosomal RNA". It matches the Rfam family "Bacterial small subunit ribosomal RNA", at positions 338 to 795 of the family's 1533-position model. The record is from RNAcentral.
CCUACGGGAGACAGCAGUGGGGAAUAUUGCACAAUGGGGGAAACCCUGAUGCAGCGACGCCGCGUGAGUGAAGAAGUAAUUCGUUAUGUAAAGCUCUAUCAGCAGGGAAGAACAUGAAGUUACCUGAUUAAGAAGCCCCGGCCAACAACGGGCCAGCAGCCGCGGUCAUACGUAGGGGGCAAGCGUUAUCCGGAGUGACUGGGUGUAACGGUAGCGUAGACGGCAGGGCAAGUCUGGCGUGAAAGGCGGGGGCGCAACGCCCGGACUGCUCUGGAAACUGGACGGCUGGAGUGUAGGAGAGGAAAGUGGAAUUCCAAGUGUAGCAGUGAAAUGCGUAGAUAUUAGGAGGAACACCAGUGGCGAAGGCGGCUUACUGGAAUGUAACUGACGUUGAGGCGCGAAAGCGUGGGGAGCAAACAGGAUUAGAUACCCGAGUAGUC